Molecule: ribosomal RNA, 255 nt
Filed under: uncultured bacterium
Lineage: Bacteria
Description: partial 16S ribosomal RNA
Rfam family: Bacterial small subunit ribosomal RNA
Source: RNAcentral
CGGACGGGUGAGUAACGCGUGGAUAACCUGCCGUAUACUGGGGGAUAACACUUAGAAAUAGGUGCUAAUACCGCAUAAGCGCACAGUCUCGCAUGAGACGGUGUGAAAAACUCCGGUGGUAUACGAUGGAUCCGCGUCUGAUUAGCUUGUUGGCGGGGUAACAGCCCACCAAGGCGACGAUCAGUAGCCGGCCUGAGAGGGUGAACGGCCACAUUGGGACUGAGGCACGGCCCAAACUCCUACGGAAGGCAGCAG